This 455-nucleotide ribosomal RNA is filed under the name uncultured Desulfovibrio sp. Its description in RNAcentral is "bacterial SSU rRNA". It matches the Rfam family "Bacterial small subunit ribosomal RNA", at positions 932 to 1382 of the family's 1533-position model. Lineage: Bacteria; Pseudomonadati; Thermodesulfobacteriota; Desulfovibrionia; Desulfovibrionales; Desulfovibrionaceae. The record is from RNAcentral.
GUGGAGUAUGUGGUUUAAUUCGACGCAACGCGCAGAACCUUACCUAGGCUUGACAUCCCGGGAAUUUGCUGGAAACAGUGAAGUGCUUUCAUUAGAAAGAGCCCGGUGACAGGUGCUGCAUGGCUGUCGUCAGCUCGUGUCGUGAGAUGUUGGGUUAAGUCCCGCAACGAGCGCAACCCUCGCCUUUAGUUGCCAGCAUUCAGUUGGGCACGUCUAAAGGGACUGCCGGUGUCAAACCGGAGGAAGGUGGGAUGACGUCAAGUCCUCAUGGCCUUUAUGUCUAGGGCUACACACGUACUACAAUGGCAGGUACAAAGGGCAGCGACACAGCGAUGUGAUGCGAAUCCCGAAAAGCCUGUCUCAGUCCGGAUCGGAGUCUGCAACUCGACUCCGUGAAGUUGGAAUCGCUAGUAAUCGUGGAUCAGCAUGCCACGGUGAAUACGUUCCCGGGCCUU